This 253-nucleotide ribosomal RNA is filed under the name uncultured bacterium. RNAcentral's name for it is "partial 16S ribosomal RNA". It matches the Rfam family "Bacterial small subunit ribosomal RNA", at positions 524 to 776 of the family's 1533-position model. The record is from RNAcentral.
UACGUAGGGUGCAAGCGUUAAUCGGAAUUACUGGGCGUAAAGCGUGCGCAGGCGGUUUGGUAAGAAAGAUGUGAAAUCCCCGGGCUCAACCUGGGAAUUGCAUUUUUGACUGCCCGGCUAGAGUGUGUCAGAGGGGGGUAGAAUUCCACGUGUAGCAGUGAAAUGCGUAGAUAUGUGGAGGAAUACCGAUGGCGAAGGCAGCCCCCUGGGAUAACACUGACGCUCAUGCACGAAAGCGUGGGGAGCAAACAGG